Molecule: transfer RNA, 82 nt
Organism: Verticillium dahliae VdLs.17
Lineage: Eukaryota; Fungi; Ascomycota; Sordariomycetes; Glomerellales; Plectosphaerellaceae
Rfam family: tRNA
About the family: Transfer RNA (tRNA) molecules are approximately 80 nucleotides in length.
Source: Rfam
GGCGAGAUGGCAGAGUGGUCUAAUGCGAUAGACUAGAAAUCUAUUCACUUCGGUGGCGCAGGUUCAAAUCCUGCUCUCGUCG